Molecule: ribosomal RNA, 207 nt
Filed under: uncultured bacterium
Lineage: Bacteria
Description: partial 16S ribosomal RNA
Rfam family: Bacterial small subunit ribosomal RNA
Source: RNAcentral
CAUGUAGGCGGAUUAAUAAGUUUGAAGUGAAAUCCUAUAGCUUAACUAUAGAACUGCUUUGAAAACUGUUAAUCUAGAAUGUGGGAGAGGUAGAUGGAAUUUCUGGUGUAGGGGUAAAAUCCGUAGAGAUCAGAAGGAAUACCGAUUGCGAAGGCGAUCUACUGGAACAUUAUUGACGCUGAGAUGCGAAAGCGUGGGUAGCGAACA